UGGAUUUGUGCCUUCGGGAACUGUGAGACAGGUGCUGCAUGGCUGUCGUCAGCUCGUGUUGUGAAAUGUUGGGUUAAGUCCCGCAACGAGCGCAACCCUUAUCCUUUGUUGCCAGCGGUCCGGCCGGGAACUCAAAGGAGACUGCCAGUGAUAAACUGGAGGAAGGUGGGGAUGACGUCAAGUCAUCAUGGCCCUUACGACCAGGGCUACACACGUGCUACAAUGGCGCAUACAAAGAGAAGCGACCUCGCGAGAGCAAGCGGACCUCAUAAAGUGCGUCGUAGUCCGGAUUGGAGUCUGCAACUCGACUCCAUGAAGUCGGAAUCGCUAGUAAUCGUGGAUCAGAAUGCCACGGUGAAUACGUUCCCGGGCCUUGUACACACCGCCCGUCACACCAUGGGAGUGGGUUGCAAAAGAAGUAGGUAGCUUAACCUUCGGGAGGGCGCUUACCACUUUGUGAUUCAUGACUGGGGUGAAGUCGUAACAAGGUAACCGUAGGGGAACCUGCGGUUGGAUCACCUCCUUA
Molecule: ribosomal RNA, 526 nt
Filed under: Salmonella enterica
Lineage: Bacteria; Pseudomonadati; Pseudomonadota; Gammaproteobacteria; Enterobacterales; Enterobacteriaceae
Description: bacterial SSU rRNA
Rfam family: Bacterial small subunit ribosomal RNA
Source: RNAcentral